Molecule: ribosomal RNA, 492 nt
Filed under: uncultured bacterium
Lineage: Bacteria
Description: partial 16S ribosomal RNA
Rfam family: Bacterial small subunit ribosomal RNA
Source: RNAcentral
CGUGCACGCUGGCGGUAGGCCUAACACAUGCAAGUCGAACGGCAGCACAGUAAGAGCUUGCUCUUACGGGUGGCGAGUGGCGGACGGGUGAGGAAUACAUCGGAAUCUACUUUUUCGUGGGGGAUAACGUAGGGAAACUUACGCUAAUACCGCAUACGACCUACGGGUGAAAGCAGGGGAUCUUCGGACCUUGCGCGAUUGAAUGAGCCGAUGUCGAAUUAGCUAGUUGGCGGGGUAAAGGCCCACCAAGGCGACGAUCCGUAGCUGGUCUGAGAGGAUGAUCAGCCACACUGGAACUGAGACACGGUCCAGACUCCUACGGGAGGCAGCAGUGGGGAAUAUUGGACAAUGGGCGCAAGCCUGAUCCAGCCAUACCGCGUGGGUGAAGAAGGCCUUCGGGUUGUAAAGCCCUUUUGUUGGGAAAGAAAAGCAGCAGGUUAAUACCCCGCUGUUCUGACGGUACCCAAAGAAUAAGCACCGGCUAACUUCGUG